CCUACGGGUGGCUGCAGUGAGGAAUAUUGGUCAAUGGGCGCGAGCCUGAACCAGCCAAGUCGCGUGAGGGAUGACGGUCCUAUGGAUUGUAAACCUCUUUUGUCGGGGAGCAAUAGACGCCACGCGUGGCCUUCCGAGCGGUCCCUAAGAAAAAGCAUCGGCCAACUCCGUGCCAGCAGCCGCGGUAAUACGGAGGAUGCGAGGGUUAUUCGGAUUUAUUGGGUUUUAAGGGGGCGCAGGCGGAAGAUCAAGUCAGCGGUAAAAUUGUGAGGCUCAACCUCUUCGUGCCGUUGAAACUGGUGUUCUUGAGUGGGCGAGAAGUAUGCGGAAUGCGUGGUGUAGCGGUGAAAUGCAUAGAUAUCACGCAGAACUCCGAUUGCGAAGGCAGCAUACCGGCGCUCAACUGACGCUGAUGCACGAAAGUGUGGGUAUCGAACAGGAUUAGAUACCCUUGUAGUC
This 459-nucleotide ribosomal RNA is filed under the name uncultured bacterium. RNAcentral's name for it is "partial 16S ribosomal RNA". It matches the Rfam family "Bacterial small subunit ribosomal RNA", at positions 338 to 795 of the family's 1533-position model. The record is from RNAcentral.